GACGAACGCUGGCGGCGUGCUUAACACAUGCAAGUCGAACGGAAAGGCCCUGCUUUUGUGGGGUGCUCGAGUGGCGAACGGGUGAGUAACACGUGAGUAACCUGCCCUUGACUUUGGGAUAACUUCAGGAAACUGGGGCUAAUACCGGAUAGGAGCUCCUGCUGCAUGGUGGGGGUUGGAAAGUUUCGGCGGUUGGGGAUGGACUCGCGGCUUAUCAGCUUGUUGGUGGGGUAGUGGCUUACCAAGGCUUUGACGGGUAGCCGGCCUGAGAGGGUGACCGGCCACAUUGGGACUGAGAGACGGCCCAGACUCCUACGGGAGGCAGCAGUGGGGAAUAUUGCACAAUGGGCGGAAGCCUGAUGCAGCAACGCCGCGUGCGGGAUGACGGCCUUCGGGUUGUAAACCGCUUUCGCCUGUGACGAAGCGUGAGUGACGGUAAUGGAUAAAGAAGCACCGGCUAACUACGUG
Molecule: ribosomal RNA, 468 nt
Filed under: uncultured bacterium
Lineage: Bacteria
Description: partial 16S ribosomal RNA
Rfam family: Bacterial small subunit ribosomal RNA
Source: RNAcentral